RNAcentral lists this ribosomal RNA (253 nucleotides) under uncultured bacterium. RNAcentral describes it as "partial 16S ribosomal RNA". It matches the Rfam family "Bacterial small subunit ribosomal RNA", at positions 524 to 776 of the family's 1533-position model. The record is from RNAcentral.
GACAGAGGGUGCAAACGUUGCUCGGAAUUACUGGGCGUAAAGCGCGUGUAGGUGGCCACGCAAGUCAGGUGUGAAAGCCCAGGGCUCAACCCUGGAAGUGCACAUGAUACUACGUGGCUGGAGUACUGAAGAGGAGAGCGGAAUUCCCGGUGUAGAGGUGAAAUUCGUAGAUAUCGGGAGGAACACCGGUGGCGAAGGCGGCUUCCUGGACCGAUACUGACGCUGAGGCGCGAAAGCUAGGGGAGCAAACGGG